This 492-nucleotide ribosomal RNA is filed under the name uncultured bacterium. RNAcentral describes it as "partial 16S ribosomal RNA". It matches the Rfam family "Bacterial small subunit ribosomal RNA", at positions 29 to 507 of the family's 1533-position model. The record is from RNAcentral.
AGUGAACGCUGGCGGCAGGCCUAACACAUGCAAGUCGAACGGCAGCACAGUAAGAGCUUGCCCUUACGGGUGGCGAGUGGCGGACGGGUGAGGAAUACAUCGGAAUCUACUUUUUCGUGGGGGAUAACGUAGGGAAACUUACGCUAACACCGCAUACGACCUACGGGUGAAAGCAGGGGAUCAUCGGACCUUGCGCGAUAGAAUGAGCCGAUGUCGGAUUAGCUAGUUGGCGGGGUAAAGGCACACCAAGGCGACGAUCCGUAGCUGGCCUGAGAGGAUGAUCGGCCACACUGGAACUGAGACACGGUCCAGACUCCUACGGGAGGCAGCAGUGGGGAAUAUUCGACAAUGGGCGCAAGCCUGAUCCAGCCAUGCCGCGUGAGUGAAGAAGGCCUUCGGAUUGUAAAGCCCUUUUGUUGGGAAAGAAAAACAGCAUGUUUAUACCCCGCUGUUCUGACGGUACCCAAAGAAUAAGCACCGGCUAACUUCGUG